UUCUCUUUCCUUCUUUCUUCCUUUCUCUUUUCUUUCUCUUUCCCUUUUUCUUUCCUUCCUUCAUCUUUCCUUUUUUCUUUCCUUCCUUUCUCUUUCCUUUUUUCUUUCCUUCCUUCCUUUCUCUUUCCUUUUUUCUUUCUUUCCUUCCUUCCUUUCUCUUUCCUUUUUUCUUUCUUUCUCCUUCCUUCCUUUCUCUUUCCUUUUUUCUUUCCUUCCUUCCUUCCUUUAUCUUUCCUUUUUUCUUUCUUUCUUUCCUUCCUUUUCUCUUUCCUUCUUUCCUUUUUUCUUUCUCUUUCCCUUUUUCUUUCCUUCUUUCCUUCCUUCCUUUCUCUUUCUUUCCUUCCUUCCUUUCUUUCUCUUUCCUUUUUUCUUUCUUUCUCUUUCCUUUUUUCCUUCCUUCCUUUAUCUUUCCUUUUUUCUUUCUUUCUUUCCUUUUCUCUUUCCUUCUUUCCUUUUUCUUUCUCUUUCCUUCUUUCUUCCUUUCUCUUUUCUUUCUCUUUUUCUUUCCUUCCUUCAUCUUUCCUUUUUUCUUUCCUUCCUUUUCUCUUUCCUUUUCUUUCUCUUUCCUUUUUCUUUCUCUUUCCCUUUUUCUUUCCUUCCUUCCUUUCUCUUUCCUUUUUUCUUUCUUUCUCUUUCCUUUUUUUCCUUCCUUCCUUUAUCUUUCCUUUUUUUUCUUUCUUUCCUUUUCUCUUUCCUUCUUUCCUUUUUCUUUCUCUUUCCUUCUUUCUUCCUUUCUCUUUUCUUUCUCUUUCCCUUUUUCUUUCCUUCCUUCAUCUUUCCUUUUUUCUUUCCUUCCUUUUCUCUUUCCUUCUUUCCUUUUCUUUCUCUUUCCUUUUUUCUUUCUCUUUCCCUUUUUCUUUCCUUCCUUCCUUUCUCUUUCCUUUUUUCUUUCUUUCUCUUUCCUUUUUUCCUUCCUUCCUUUAUCUUUCCUUUUUUCUUUCUUUCUUUCCUUUUCUCUUUCCUUCUUUCCUUUUUCUCUCUCUUUCCUUCUUUCUUCCUUUCUCUUUUCUUUCUCUUUCCCUUUUUCUUUCCUUUUUUCUUUCCUUCCUUUUCUCUUUCCUUCUUUCCUUUUUCUUUCUCUUUCCUUUUCUUUCCUUCCUUCCUUUCUCUUUCCUUUUUCUUUCUCUUUCCCUUUUUCUUUCCUUCCUUCCUUUCUCUUUCCUUUUUUCUUUCUCUUUCCCUUUUUCUUUUCUUCCUUCCAUUCUCUUUCCUUCCAUCAUUUUUCUUUCCUUCCUCUUUCUUAACAUCCAUCUAAGCAGGACUCCUCCUUUUCCGGAACCAUAG
This 1284-nucleotide long non-coding RNA is filed under the name Sarcophilus harrisii (Tasmanian devil). RNAcentral describes it as "lncRNA (ENSSHAG00000027749.1)". The record is from RNAcentral. Lineage: Eukaryota; Metazoa; Chordata; Mammalia; Dasyuromorphia; Dasyuridae.